CCUACGGGAGGCAGCAGUAGGGAAUCUUGCGCAAUGGGCGAAAGCCUGACGCAGCCAUGCCGCGUGAAUGAUGAAGGUCUUAGGAUUGUAAAAUUCUUUCACCGGGGAAGAUAAUGACGGUACCCGGAGAAGAAGCCCCGGCUAACUUCGUGCCAGCAGCCGCGGUAAUACGAAGGGGGCUAGCGUUGCUCGGAAUUACUGGGCGUAAAGGGCGCGUAGGCGGAUAGUUUAGUCAGAGGUGAAAGCCCAGGGCUCAACCUUGGAAUUGCCUUUGAUACUGGCUAUCUUGAGUUCGGGAGAGGUGAGUGGAAUGCCGAGUGUAGAGGUGAAAUUCGUAGAUAUUCGGCGGAACACCAGUGGCGAAGGCGACUCACUGGCCCGAUACUGACGCUGAGGCGCGAAAGCGUGGGGAGCAAACAGGAUUAGAUACCCUGGUAGUCCACGCUGUAAACGAUGAGUGCUAGUUGUCGGCAUGCAUGCAUGUCGGUGACGCAGCUACGACAUUAAGUACACUCCGCCGUCGGGGUAGGUACGGUACGGCGAAGAAGUUAAAACGUUAAAACGGUAAAGUUAGUACGGCGUGAGACGUGCCGACGGACGACCGACGAGGGAGGUUAGG
This 619-nucleotide ribosomal RNA is filed under the name uncultured bacterium. Its description in RNAcentral is "bacterial SSU rRNA". The stretch from base 1 to 519 matches the Rfam family "Bacterial small subunit ribosomal RNA", at positions 338 to 873 of the family's 1533-position model. The record is from RNAcentral.